UACACUUGCUAAUAGAGUCUGCUUCUAAUCGUCUUGUAAUGAGACAAACUUAACUUUGACCUUUGGCCUCAAAUCAGGUAGGACUACCCGCUGAACUUAA
RNAcentral lists this ribosomal RNA (100 nucleotides) under Pyrrhoderma noxium. RNAcentral's name for it is "partial 28S ribosomal RNA". Lineage: Eukaryota; Fungi; Basidiomycota; Agaricomycetes; Hymenochaetales; Hymenochaetaceae. The record is from RNAcentral.